GGCCUCCCCGACCUUCGAUCCCCUCGCUUCAACGGCGGCGGCACCCCGUCCUUUUCUAAGGCUUCGGCGACAGCAACCACGUCCACCUCCACAUCCUGUGCUUCGGGGAUGGUGGCGCUUCUACUCCUCGUGCGAGAGGAUGAUGCAAAAUCGUGGAUGAAAUUCGGGAACUCCUGGUCUUGACCGACGCCCUCUGCUCCGGUCGCCGACCCAGCAACCAGAUCGUGGGUACCAUCCUGCCCUAAGGUUACAUGCACUACCUGUCUCUCCUUGAUGUGAUCUCUCAAAGUCCCGAUCUAUUUCAGGAAAACUAUCUUCUGUCUAUUUGAUACUCUUUUUUGGUCAACAGUUUUAACCUAUUGUAAUUGCUCUCAUUCUGGAGCGAGGUCACUAUUGACAAGUCAUUGUAGUGCUACUACCGCAUUAAUCUUAGCAGUGAAGCUAUGGUCUGUUCUUUGGUACAACAAUGAAAUGUUAAUAUGCCAUUCUCCUUUUAUGCUUUGUGUCAGUGCACUGUGGUAUGACACCAACACUUAUUUGGCACCUACAUUGCAUCGACAAUUUGCCAGCUUACAGUUUGUACCAUCGAGAAUUUGCACGACUUUACACCAGCAGCUAUACCACUAUACUAUAAAUAUAUUUUGAUGUCUAAACUGGUGUUGGUACUGAACCUGAUAGUGUAUUUGGUGUAUCUUUUCUGUAGAAUUAGUAUCAGAGUUCUAUUUGUAGUAUUAUUAAUAGUGCAGAGCUGAUAAUUAGACCAUAGAGUCGCUUUUGGUUUGGUUUAUUCCUUCAGAUCAUGCAAUAGCUGUAAGCACACAUUUAAGUACUUUAUCUUAUUACAAAAACUGAACAAAGAUAUACCAGCAAUACGUUUCAUGACGUAGUGUUAUCUAUGCAAGAAAAUUGCUUGAAUGAUUAUUAAUCAAUAUAAGCAAUCUAUCAUGUAGGUUUUGUUCGAUCCUACACUUAAAGAAAAUCAUACUGAAGAUCUGAGCUAAAGUGUUCCAACAGCUAAAGCACCAGCUCAAGAUGAAAGGAUCCUCUUAAUAUGAUUGUAGGUCCAUUCCUGUAAAGUGCAGUUAGAAUAUGGAAUCCACCUGGAACUCGGUUUUAAAAACAGAAAGCAUAUGGAAUUUUUAGGUUUCUGCUUUCUAUGUGAGUAUCUUGGUGCAUACUUGUUUCUGAAUAAAAUGCAGAGGUCAUGAACAAAUUAAAACAUGCUCUCUGAUGGGCAAGGGUAGGUUUAUUUUUAGUUAAAGUAGUAUCAGUUGUAUACUUAUAUACACACCAUUUGAAAAAUAGUAUGUAUCUCCUUGCAGACUACUACGUAUUAUUUAAAUGUUUUACAUAAGACUAUCCGUCCAGAUACAAUAACUAAUUAGUAUUUUAAUAACUUGAAUUGCACGGCUUGAUCGCUCUGCUUGGGUCUACUCUUUUGUAUGAGUGCACCAUGUGCGGGUUAAAUAAGUGCCCCAGCUUCGGUGAUGCACGCGCGAGGCAACACGAUUUGGUGCAGUGGCCCUCCUUCCAAGAAAUCAAGUUUUUACGUUCAGAUUUUAGAGCUCUUGAGUUUCAGCUUAGUUAAAGGAUAGAAAAGCAUACUCCUUAUGGAUUCAACGAGGAAGACCAUUAGCCGCCACCUUUUCAGAAUUGGAUGGUGUGGUGCACCUUCAUCCUGCUGUCCAAUUUCUUAGCUUAUUUGCUUUAAAUGUACUACAGUAUAUAGCAGGAUAAGGAUCCAAUCUUGUGACGCCUCUCCAUUUGCACCAUCGUCAAAAGUUGCACAUGAGUUGAUUCAGACUUUCAGAGUUCAUAGAACACCUAGAGUUAAUCGGCCUGAAGGUAUAUCAGACCCUAUGGAAAGGGGACCCGGUUCAGAUUUGUCACUACUAUGUGUUGUUGGAUAGCCAUGGUGUGUAUUAGUUUGCUUUUACCACAGUUCGGUUCUUGGUAGUUAGGAUAUCAGGUGUAUACAUUACUUUUCUUAUGAAUUUUUUCUCUUUUAGUGCACUAUCUAUCUAUCUAUCUAUCUAUCAAAGUUUUCAAAGAAAUUGAUGGCGGUGGCUCAGAGGCGUCGUGGUGAAUGGUGAAGCUUCUAAAAUGGAUGGAAGAGAGGUGGUGACUUGUGGCUGGGAGACGUACAUAUUUGAGGAAAUACGAUUCAUAAGGUUUCAUAUUAACAAAAAAAUGUGAUCUUUGUAAAGUAAUCCAAACAUUUUGUUGAUUCCAGGACAAUUUUAUUCUCCAAUAUGAAUCCGUAAGAAAAGAUAUGACAAUACAUUUGUGCAAAUUGAUAAUGUAAGCUCAUCUUGAAACUUUAUUCUUUUUCUAAGAUUGAUUUACUUGGUGGUGCUAACUUCCAUUCUGUCAAAACAGGACAUGUGUGCUUUUUCUGAAAAAGGAAGCUUCUCUGUUGGCUGGCAUCCCUGAUGGUGCCUUUAGAUAUGUAGGAAAAGAAAUGGUAUCUCAUAAUUCACUAGAUGUAGACCAGUAGGGUCAAUUACAAAUUGUUGGCUGUAAAUGACUUUCAGUUUCUAGCUUUCAUAAAAAAAUUAGACAUGUACUGUUUAAUUAAAAUUGUGUGAGUAUGUUGUGGUUGAUGGUGGUCCUAUGUGCUGGUUCAAAUUAUCAUGUUGGAUAAUAUUGCUUUUACUAGCAGUUGCAGUGCUCUUAUUAUUAUUUUCACAAAUAUCAUCAUGUUUUGCUAUUGAUGUAAUGCUAUAUUCUUUGACUGAAAUCAAACCCUUUAGUUGUUACUUUGGUGCUUUUAUUAUUGUGUGUGUAUAUUCGAUAAUGGCUUCAGUUUCAAUUAAAAUCGUUAACUGGACUUGCGGUGGCGUAUUAUUCGGCAAAAAGUAGUUUUGUCGCCUUUUAAUGUUUUCAUUUACAUUCAUGGUCAUAUAUGCCGCUUUGAAUGAAACAAUUGAUCAACUCCGAUCGUAGCUGGUAGGGGUUGUGAUGGACAGGGCGAAUGCAGGCACCAAACGGCGACUACUCGCACCCCUCCCCCCUAACCCCAUCGGGAACCCUCCAUUAGGCGCACCACGGGAGGAAGGAUAGGUCCAUGUCGACAAAGGAGGUAGACAUGAUGCGGGCGGCGGCGGCGUAGAGCACUUCAACAAGGGAGACUUGAAAUGGGGAACGAUAAGAAAGAUGAGUUCGUGCGUCCUUAUUUUAAUAAAAGUUAACGUCAAGUGCUUUGUUUAGGCUAAGCCCAAAUAGUUAACUCUUCCCACCAAACAACCAUCUGUAAAAAUUACCUAACAAAAAUGCUAUAAAAA
Molecule: long non-coding RNA, 3284 nt
Filed under: Triticum aestivum (bread wheat)
Lineage: Eukaryota; Viridiplantae; Streptophyta; Magnoliopsida; Poales; Poaceae
Description: long non-coding RNA (TAES_LNC010228)
Source: RNAcentral